This 306-nucleotide long non-coding RNA is filed under the name Musa acuminata (dwarf banana). RNAcentral's name for it is "long non-coding RNA (MACU_LNC010663)". Lineage: Eukaryota; Viridiplantae; Streptophyta; Magnoliopsida; Zingiberales; Musaceae. The record is from RNAcentral.
CAACAAGCUUAGGAACUCAAAGGUAUUUGGGGUUGGUUGUUGGCGGAUUAAACCCAUCAAUCGGGUAAGUUGUAACUCAUAGAGAAGAGAGCUCAGGGAGAGGGGCCCCAUAGCUGCUCUUACUAUUCCCCAUAGCUGCUCUUACUAUUAACGUUCUGAAUUUCCAAGCUCAUGAGGGGAUCCAGACACUCGGGAAGUCAGCACCUUUCAGUGGCUCCCCUCAAACUCCAAAGAGACUCUCGGAAAGCCGCCUAACUGUGGGGGCCCUUCGGGGAGGCGCAGGGAAUCCACUCCAAAAAGACUAAC